CAGUAGCCACGGUAAUGCGUAGGUGGCAAGCGUUGUCCGGAAUUAUUGGGCAUAAAGGGCUCGCAGGCGGUUUCUUAAGUCUGAUGUGAAAGCCCCCGGCUCAACCGGGGAGGGUCAUUGGAAACUGGGAAACUUGAGUGCAGAAGAGGAGAGUGGAAUUCCACGUGUAGCGGUGAAAUGCGUAGAGAUGUGGAGGAACACCAGUGGCGAAGGCGACUCUCUGGUCUGUAACUGACGCUGAGGAGCGAAAGCGUGGGGAGCGAACAGGAUUAGAUACCCGCGUAGUCCCUGUCUCUUAUAC
RNAcentral lists this ribosomal RNA (301 nucleotides) under uncultured bacterium. RNAcentral describes it as "partial 16S ribosomal RNA". It matches the Rfam family "Bacterial small subunit ribosomal RNA", at positions 509 to 807 of the family's 1533-position model. The record is from RNAcentral.